UGGGGAAUAUUGCACAAUGGGCGCAAGCCUGAUGCAGCAACGCCGCGUGAGGGAUGACGGCCUUCGGGUUGUAAACCUCUUUUAGCAGGGAAGAAGCGAAAGUGACGGUACCUGCAGAAAAAGCACCGGCUAACUACGUGCCAGCAGCCGCGGUAAUACGUAGGGUGCAAGCGUUGUCCGGAAUUAUUGGGCGUAAAGAGCUCGUAGGCGGUCUGUCGCGUCUGCUGUGAAAUCCCCGAGGCUCAACCUCGGGCCUGCAGUGGGUACGGGCAGACUAGAGUGCGGUAGGGGAGAAUGGAACUCCUGGUGUAGCGGUGGAAUGCGCAGAUAUCAGGAAGAACACCGAUGGCGAAGGCAGUUCUCUGGGCCGUAACUGACGCUGAGGAGCGAAAGCGUGGGGAGCGAACAGGAUUAGAUACCCUGGUAGUCCACGCCGUAAACGUUGGGCGCUAGAUGUGGGGACCAUUCCACGGUUUCCGUGUCGCAGCUAACGCAUUAA
This 499-nucleotide ribosomal RNA is filed under the name uncultured bacterium. RNAcentral's name for it is "partial 16S ribosomal RNA". It matches the Rfam family "Bacterial small subunit ribosomal RNA", at positions 355 to 863 of the family's 1533-position model. The record is from RNAcentral.